AGACGGGACCGCACAAGCGUGGAUGAUGUGGAUUAAUUCGAUGCAACGCGAAAACCUUACCUACCCUUGACAUGUCUGGAACCUUGGUGAGAGCCGAGGGUGCCUUCGGGAGCCAGAACACAGGUGCUGCAUGGCUGUCGUCAGCUCGUGUCGUGAGAUGUUGGGUUAAGUCCCGCAACGAGCGCAACCCUUGUCACUAGUUGCCAUCAUUUAGUUGGGCACUCUAGUGAGACUGCCGGUGACAAACCGGAGGAAGGUGGGGAUGACGUCAAGUCCUCAUGGCCCUUAUGGGUAGGGCUUCACACGUCAUACAAUGGUCGGUACAGAGGGUUGCCAAGCCGCGAGGUGGAGCCAAUCCCAUAAAGCCAUUCGUAGUCCGGAUCGCAGUCUGCAACUCGACUGCGUGAAGUCGGAAUCGCUAGUAAUCGUGGAUCAGAAUGUCACGGUGAAUACGUUCCCGGGUCUU
RNAcentral lists this ribosomal RNA (466 nucleotides) under uncultured Thauera sp. RNAcentral's name for it is "bacterial SSU rRNA". It matches the Rfam family "Bacterial small subunit ribosomal RNA", at positions 917 to 1381 of the family's 1533-position model. Lineage: Bacteria; Pseudomonadati; Pseudomonadota; Betaproteobacteria; Rhodocyclales; Zoogloeaceae. The record is from RNAcentral.